AUGGCGGCUCGCGGCGUGGGGAUGUUGGCACGUUUACCCCUCUGUGCUCAGAGAGGUCAAGUCCUACGUCCUACCCACAGGCUUCUCAGUUGCCCAGGCACUGUGGCCGCAGACGUUAAGAGAGAAGAGCAGUCCUCGAGGAACGUGGAGACUGGCUCUGAAGACAGGACUCCCAAAAAGAAAUUCUCUGAGGUGCAGAAAGAAAGACGAGAACAGGCACAGCGAACUGUUUUAAUACAUUGCCCGAAUAAAAUCAGUGAAAAAAAGUUUCUGAAAUACUUAUCUCAACAUGGACCUAUUAGUAAUCAUUUCUUCUAUGAGAGCUUUGGUCUUUAUGCUGUUGUGGAGUUUUGUCAAAAGGAAAGUGUCACUUCACUACAGAAUGUAACUCGCACUCCAAGUAUGGACACAGAGGCUGCAGUUCCAUUCAAGUCACGUUUCUUCAAUGUAAAGAUGAAGAAUCCAUCAAACCAGACUUCAGAACAGUCCUGCAUACAGUACAGUAAUCAUACCCCUCCUUCAAGCAAGAAGCUUUCUGAAUUACUUUGUUAUGCAGAAAGUAUAGAUGAUCAGCUGAACACUCUCCUGAAGGAGUUCCAGCUGACGGAGGAGGACAUUAAGCUCAGAUACCUCACCUGUUCUCUUAUUGAAGACCUAGCAGCUGCGUAUUUUCAGGACUGUACAGUGAGACCCUUUGGCUCCUCUGUGAACAGUUUUGGGAAAUUAGGAUGUGAUUUGGACAUGUUUUUGGAUCUAGGUGAAAUUGGAAAAUUCAACACCAACAAGACCUCCGGAAAUUUUCUGAUGGAAUUUCAAGUGAAAAAUGUUCCUUCAGAAAGGAUUGCAACUCAGAAGAUCCUGUCUGUGAUAGGAGAAUGCCUUGACCACUUUGGCCCUGGUUGUGUGGGUGUACAGAAAAUCUUAAAUGCUCGGUGUCCUCUUGUGAGGUUCUCACACCAGGCCUCUGGAUUUCAGUGUGAUUUGACUACUAAUAAUAGGAUUGCCUUGAAAAGUUCUGAACUCCUUUAUAUUUAUGGUGCUCUCGACUCAAGAGUGAGAGCCUUGGUGUUCUGUAUUCGGUGUUGGGCUCGAGCACAUUCAUUAACGAGUAGUAUUCCUGGUUCUUGGAUUACAAAUUUCUCUCUUACAAUGAUGGUCAUCUUUUUUCUCCAGAGGAGAUCACCCCCUAUUCUUCCAACACUUGACUACCUAAAAACUCUAGCAGGUGCAGAAGAUAAAUGCAUAAUAGAAGGCCACAACUGUACUUUUAUUAGUGACUUGAAUAGAAUUAAACCUUCAGGAAACACAGAAACACUAGAAUCACUACUGAAAGAAUUUUUUGAAUAUUUUGGCAAUUUCGCUUUCAAUAAAAAUUCCAUAAAUAUUCGACAGGGAAGGGAACAAAACAAACCUGAGUCUUCUCCCCUGCAUAUUCAGAAUCCUUUUGAAACUUCUCUUAACAUCAGCAAAAAUGUAAAUCAAAGCCAGCUACAAAAAUUUGUAGAUCUGGCCAGAGAAAGUGCCUGGAUUUUAAGUCAGGAAGAUAAAGAUCGCCCUUCCCCAUCAGGUAAUCGGCCCUGGGGGCUGGCAACGCUGCUGCUUCCUUCGGUGGUAAAGAGUGUGUCUCUUGCUAAGAAGAAAAGGAAGAAGCCUGCAAGUGAAAGAAUUAAAAAUUUGCUGGAAUCCAUAAAAAGUAGCAGUCCAGAAAAUGACACAAACACCAAUGGGAAAAGAACAGUUAGUACUCAGGCAUAGUGGCUCCUCCUUUGCUUUAAGAACUGGUUUUCCCCGAGAACAUGCACUUUGGGGCGCCUGGAAGAACGGGUGUGAAACACUCAUAGAUGCCCACUGUCAUCCGAUGUCCCUUUUCAUGAUCUUCUCACUGGGCCUCCUCCUCAUCUGAAGUUCUGGGAGCUUUCAGCCUGAUAAGCCUCAGAUCCAUCAGCACCUAGAACGUCCGCCACAAGGAAUGGGUGACAGAGGAUUGGAAUGCUCUUUAGAUAAACUAUACAAAGCAAGAGGUAAAAAAUCAGUUUUAGAAUCAAACCAUUAUUGAUAUCAACAUUAGGCCCCGGAUGGAAAUCAUUUAAAAGGACUUUGGGGAUCAUAGAGGAGAAGAGAAAAUACAGUCGAAGUAGGACUUCCUGCUGUCAUUACUACGAGCCCCUUCUUCCUUUUGCUCAGGGACUAUAGUCAGCCUGCUGGUGCCACAGUAGGGAAAAGCUACAUUUGCCUGUGUCUUUUAAGCCAGCACAGGGAACAUCGCAGCAAAGCCAUCAGGAAGAGCAACCAAGCAGUCACAGCUUGCCCAUGUGGCAACUUUGCACUUGCCAGAGUCUGGCAUUCGGUUGGUGAGUAGCUGUCCUCAGUCUCCGUUCAGUCCCUUCGGGAAACCUUGUAGGAGUGCAACGUUCAGAACACCGUAGAAACAAAUAAAUCAUUUUUGCCUGAGAUGAUCAGCCUCACUGAUGAAUGGCUCAGGUAGAUCUUGAAAGUACAGGUAGACAAGAGAAGGGCAUAGGGCUUAUUGUUUGGGAAAUCACAGGACAGCCCGAGGAGGAGUCAGGAAGAGGGAGGAGUAUUUGGAGAACUGGCAGUUUGGGUGGGUUGGGAUGCAGUUUUUCCCGGGAUGCUCAAAAGAGUUAAGGUUGGGUGAGAUCACGAAGGACUGCCAAUGGCAAUUUAAGGAAGUUGAGUGUGUUUUCAGUGGUAAGCUACUGAAGGUUUUUGUGUAAAAAUAAUAAAAAUUAAGGCAGUGCUUUUAGAUGAUUCAUCUGUUCAUACCCAGUAGUUUUAGAUCACUGCUCCUUUUUUGCAAGUUUGAGUUCCAUGGCUCUCAUCAUUAAGUCAGAUAAAAUUUGGCUGUUCAGUUUUCCGUGAAGGUCCAGAAGCUGACCCCCAUAUACCUCAGAGGAGUUUUUCUUCUUAAUAUUUAAUAAGGAAGUAAGGUUUAAGUAGUUUUUAAAGU
Enhydra lutris kenyoni (northern sea otter) is the source of this 2968-nucleotide RNA transcript. It is a transcript of the gene named mitochondrial poly(A) polymerase, with no coding region annotated. The transcript has 11 exons. The record is from RefSeq and is a predicted model, not a curated record. Lineage: Eukaryota; Metazoa; Chordata; Mammalia; Carnivora; Mustelidae.